AUACGGAGGGGGCUAGCGUUGUUCGGAAUUACUGGGCGUAAAGAGCGCGUAGGCGGUUGAUAAAGUUGGGUGUGAAAGCCCGGGGCUUAACCCCGGAACUGCAUUCAAAACUGAUUGACUAGAGUCUGGUAGAGGGUGGUGGAAUUCCUAGUGUAGCGGUGAAGUGCGUAGAUAUUAGGAGGAACACCAGCGGCGAAGGCGACCACCUGGGACAGUACUGACGCUAAGGCGCGAAAGCGUGGGGAGCAAACGGGAUUAGAAACCCCAGUAGUCC
Molecule: ribosomal RNA, 274 nt
Filed under: uncultured bacterium
Lineage: Bacteria
Description: partial 16S ribosomal RNA
Rfam family: Bacterial small subunit ribosomal RNA
Source: RNAcentral